This 252-nucleotide ribosomal RNA is filed under the name uncultured bacterium. RNAcentral describes it as "partial 16S ribosomal RNA". It matches the Rfam family "Bacterial small subunit ribosomal RNA", at positions 524 to 776 of the family's 1533-position model. The record is from RNAcentral.
UACGGAGGAUGCGAGCGUUAUCCGGAUUUAUUGGGUUUAAAGGGUGCGUAGGCGGGAUGCCAAGUCAGCGGUAAAAAUGCGGUGCUCAACGCCGUCGAGCCGUUGAAACUGGCGUUCUUGAGUGGGCGAGAAGUAUGCGGAAUGCGUGGUGUAGCGGUGAAAUGCAUAGAUGUCACGCAGAACCCCGAUUGCGAAGGCAGCCUUCCGGCGCCCUACUGACGCUGAGGCACGAAAGUGCGGGGAUCGAACAGG